UGGGGAAUAUUGGACAAUGGGCGCAAGCCUGAUCCAGCCAUGCCGCGUGAGUGAUGAAGGCCUUAGGGUUGUAAAGCUCUUUCGCCGGUGAAGAUAAUGACGGUAACCGGAGAAGAAGCCCCGGCUAACUUCGUGCCAGCAGCCGCGGUAAUACGAAGGGGGCUAGCGUUGCUCGGAAUCACUGGGCGUAAAGCGCACGUAGGCGGAUCGUUAAGUCAGGGGUGAAAUCCUGGAGCUCAACUCCAGAACUGCCCUUGAUACUGGCGAUCUCGAGUUCGAGAGAGGUUGGUGGAACUCCGAGUGUAGAGGUGAAAUUCGUAGAUAUUCGGAAGAACACCAGUGGCGAAGGCGGCCAACUGGCUCGAUACUGACGCUGAGGUGCGAAAGCGUGGGGAGCAAAACAGGAUUAGAUACCCCUGGUAGUCCACGCCGUAAAACGAUGGAUGCUAGCCGUUGGGGGGUUUACCUCUCAGUGGCGCAGCUAACGCCUUAAGCAUCCCGCCUGGGGAGUACGGUCGCAAGAUUAAAACUCAAAGGAAUUGACGGGGUCAUAGCUG
This 557-nucleotide ribosomal RNA is filed under the name uncultured bacterium. Its description in RNAcentral is "partial 16S ribosomal RNA". It matches the Rfam family "Bacterial small subunit ribosomal RNA", at positions 355 to 932 of the family's 1533-position model. The record is from RNAcentral.